UAGGCAUGGUGGCUUGUGAUCUCAGGACUCAGGAGGUAGAAGGAAGAUGAGGAGUUCAGGAUCAUCCUGGACUUCACAAUGAGUCUAAGGCUAGCCUAGGAUACAUGAGAACCUAUUUCAACCAAGGGCCUAGGAAAAUCUUGAGAACUUUGUAAGCAUCCUGCCCUUUCCUGUAAGUAACCCUAAUCAAACCUCACUGGACCGCUAAGCUGGACUUUGGUGCAACCACCAUCCCUGGGGUGAGCAGAAGAAAGUGAACGUGGAGCUGUGUUUCAGCAACUCAUCUGGGAAAGUCUCUCCCACAGCACGUACUGGAGGUUCUCUGAAGGAGGCUGAGCAGAAUUUCUUCCUGGAAAUCCGUGGGUAGCAGCUCACAUUCCAUCACAACCGAGUACUGAUGGCUGGUCCUCUGAGGCGACAUUCUUCAGGUGUCUGCUCCGCACACCCCUUAUUCCAACAGGAAUGCACACGCCUGUGCUCUUGGGAUGCUGUUUACUUAACUCACCAAGAAACUCAGUCACAGAAUCCUGAAGCCUUGAGUGACCCAUCAAGUCCGUAAGGCCACUUUCUACUUCGAGGAAAACGCCCAAAAGGACUCAACGGACCCAUGACCCAAGAAGACAUUCAGGUGCUCAGUCACUGGUCGAAGCCGCCUGAUUUUUUUCACUCACGAAGCAGAGGAGUGCGAAUUAUACCCACCAUGAGACGGCACUGCCCCUGAGCCCUGGAAAUGGUCGAGUUUGGCAAAGACAAGAGCUGGGGGGGGACGAUGGGAACUGCUGUGGGUGGGAGCUUACGUUGAAGCAAGAAUUUGGGAAACACUUGCUCAUAUAACUGCUAAGGCAGCUGUUCUCAACCUGAGGGUCACGACCCCUUUGGGGUCUCUUAAAACCAUUGGAAAACACAGAUAUUUAACCCAGAUAUUUACAUUACAAUUAAUAACAGUAGCAAAAUUACAGUUAUGAAGUAGCCAUGAAAUAAUUUUAUGGUUGAGGGUCACCACCACAUAAGAACUGUAUUAAAGGGUUGCAGCGUUAAGAAGGAUGAGAACCACCAUCCUAAGACGUGACUACUCCUGUGUCUACUGUAGGGAAAGGCCCUGGAGGUUAGAUGAAUCUGCAUAUCCUGGGCAGAAGGUAAACAGAAGAAUGAUUAUGGAAGUGUCUCCUUAAAUGCCACAGGCUGGAGACAGUCAUGUGCCCGCCAACCCAGAAAAGGGUCAGACUCAGAAGCACUCUCUGUGUGAGCAAAGCUGUGAGAUGUAAAUACAUCAAGUCCCUAAACAAAGCUAAACUCUUCUGUUUAGGCACAAGCAUAGGGCUGGGAAGAGAAGCAAGCAGGGAGGUCCCCAUACUGAAAGCUGGGGUGCUGGUGGUUUUAAGAGGGAGUGGCUGAGAAGAAUGAGCAGGGAGACGUCUGCACACUGCGACUGUUCUGUUUCGUGGCCUGGCUGUGACCGUGCGAGUUUUUAUUUUAUAAUUAUCCACUAAACUG
Molecule: long non-coding RNA, 1494 nt
Organism: Peromyscus californicus insignis
Lineage: Eukaryota; Metazoa; Chordata; Mammalia; Rodentia; Cricetidae
Exons: 4
Source: RefSeq, a predicted model, not a curated record